This 387-nucleotide unclassified non-coding RNA is filed under the name soil metagenome. Its description in RNAcentral is "partial contains 5.8S ribosomal RNA, internal transcribed spacer 2, and large subunit ribosomal RNA". The stretch from base 1 to 120 matches the Rfam family "5.8S ribosomal RNA", at positions 35 to 154 of the family's 154-position model. The record is from RNAcentral.
GAUGAAGAACGUAGCGAAAUGCGAUAAGUAAUGUGAAUUGCAGAAUUCAGUGAAUCAUCGAAUCUUUGAACGCACCUUGCACCCUUUGGUAUUCCGAAGGGUAUGCUCGUUUGAGUGUCAUUGUACUCUCACACUUCUAAUUCCUUUCGGGAUUGGGAGCGGUGGACUUGGGUGUUGCUGCUUUAGUUGUGGCUCACCUCAAAUAAGUUAGUGCAACUCUUGGUUGGACAUAGUACGGCGAGAUAAGUGUCUUCGCCGGCGCCUCUGUAAGGAGGGUGGCCGAUCGGGAGCUCUGUGCUUCAAACCGUCUUCGGACAAUCUUUGACAACUUGACCUCAAAUCGAGUAGGACUACCCGCUGAACUUAAGCAUAUCAAUAAGCGGAGGA